RNAcentral lists this ribosomal RNA (476 nucleotides) under Treponema sp. canine oral taxon 207. RNAcentral describes it as "bacterial SSU rRNA". It matches the Rfam family "Bacterial small subunit ribosomal RNA", at positions 9 to 472 of the family's 1533-position model. The record is from RNAcentral. Lineage: Bacteria; Pseudomonadati; Spirochaetota; Spirochaetia; Treponematales; Treponemataceae.
GAGUUUGAUUCUGGCUCAGAACGAACGCUGGCGGCGCGUCUUAAGCAUGCAAGUCGAACGGUAAGGGAGAGCUUGCUCUCCCCUAGAGUGGCGGACUGGUGAGUAACGCGUAGGUGACCUACCCUGAAGAUGGGGAUAGCUAGUAGAAAUAUUAGAUAAUACCGAAUAAGCUCAUUUGCAUAAAGGCAGAUGAGGAAAGGAGCUACGGCUCCGCUUUAGGAUGGGCCUGCGUCCCAUUAGCUAAGUUGGUGAGGUAAAGGCUUACCAAGGCAACGAUGGGUAUCCGGCCUGAGAGGGUGAACGGACACAUUGGGACUGAGAUACGGCCCAAACUCCUACGGGAGGCAGCAGCUAAGAAUCUUCCGCAAUGGACGAAAGUCUGACGGAGCGACGCCGUGUGAAUGAAGAAGGCUGAAAAGUUGUAAAAUUCUUUUGCAGAUGAAGAAUAAGGAUAGGAGGGAAUGCCUAUCUGAUGA